GAUGAACGCUGGCGGCGUGCCUAAUACAUGCAAGUCGAGCGAACGGACGAGAAGCUUGCUUCUCUGAUGUUAGCGGCGGACGGGUGAGUAACACGUGGAUAACCUACCUAUAAGACUGGGAUAUCUUCGGGAAACCGGAGCUAAUACCGGAUAAUAUUUUGAACCGCAUGGUUCAAAAGUGAAAGACGGUCUUGCUGUCACUUAUAGAUGGAUCCGCGCUGCAUUAGCUAGUUGGUAAGGUAACGGCUUACCAAGGCAACGAUGCAUAGCCGACCUGAGAGGGUGAUCGGCCACACUGGAACUGAGACACGGUCCAGACUCCUACGGGAGGCAGCAGUAGGGAAUCUUCCGCAGUGGGCGAAAGCCUGACGGAGCAACGCCGCGUGAGUGAUGAAGGUCUUCGGAUCGUAAAACUCUGUUAUGAGGGAAGAACAUAUGUGUAAGUAACUGUGCACAUCUUGACGGUACCUAAUCAGAAAGCCACGGCUAACUACGUG
This 497-nucleotide ribosomal RNA is filed under the name uncultured bacterium. RNAcentral describes it as "partial 16S ribosomal RNA". It matches the Rfam family "Bacterial small subunit ribosomal RNA", at positions 28 to 507 of the family's 1533-position model. The record is from RNAcentral.